GCCGCGCUAAUAUCGCUGCGCAGUCGCGUGAAUACGUAGGGUGCGAGCGUUAUAUCGGAAUCACUGGGCGUAAAGCGUGCGCAGGCGGUUUGGUAAGAGGCGUGAAAUCCCCGGGCUUAACCUGGGAACUGCGUUUGUGACUGCCAGGCUAGAGUACGGCAGAGGGGGGUGGAAUUCCACGUGUAGCAGUGAAAUGCGUAAAGAUGUGGAGGAACACCAAUGGCGAAGGCAGCCCCCUGGGUCGAUACUGACGCUCAUGCACGAAAGCGUGGGUAGCAAACAGGAUUAGAUACCCUGGUAGUC
RNAcentral lists this ribosomal RNA (303 nucleotides) under uncultured bacterium. RNAcentral describes it as "bacterial SSU rRNA". It matches the Rfam family "Bacterial small subunit ribosomal RNA", at positions 492 to 795 of the family's 1533-position model. The record is from RNAcentral.